UACGUAGGGUGCAAGCGUUGUCCGGAAUUAUUGGGCGUAAAGAGCUCGUAGGUGGCGGGUCACGUCGGGUGUGAAAGCCCGGGGCUUAACCCCGGGUCUGCAUUCGAUACGGGUCUGCUGGGGUCCGGCAGGGGAGACUGGAAUUCCUGGUGUAGCGGUGAAAAUGCGCAGAUAUCAGGAGGAACACCGGUGGCGAAGGCGGGUCUCUGGGCCGGUACCGACGCUGAGGAGCGAAAGCGUGGGGAGCGAACAGG
This 254-nucleotide ribosomal RNA is filed under the name uncultured bacterium. RNAcentral describes it as "partial 16S ribosomal RNA". It matches the Rfam family "Bacterial small subunit ribosomal RNA", at positions 524 to 776 of the family's 1533-position model. The record is from RNAcentral.